GCGUAUGAACGAUCAGGAGAAAGUGAGAGAAGGGGUGCAAGCCCUAAUUCAUGAAAAAUCUUCAAAUUGAAGGGAAAUUAAGCUCAAAUCCGAUGCAUGAACUCGUUUUCUUGAUGAUCUAACCCUAGCAAACAUGUGAAUUGGAACCACACAAGCAUGGACCAAGCAUGGAAGGAUAACGGGUCAAGAUGAGGCAAGGAAGCGGUUACGAGCACGGAUGCACAAGGUAGUACGAAACACGAGGAUCAUCAAGGGAUAGAGAUCAAGGACCGAGUCACAUGAAGGAUUGUACGGGGUGUAUAAGAAUGUAAUUUGUUAUAUAUAAGUUAUGUUUUAUUCUAUAAUUGAGUUAGUUUGAUGUAUUCAAUAUAGAGGAGUUACUAUAAAAGUGAACUUUCAAGUAAGACAUAAGGUUUAUAAUGAAAGAAAUUUUAUGGUA
This is a long non-coding RNA of Helianthus annuus (common sunflower), 439 nucleotides long. RefSeq lists it as uncharacterized. The record is from RefSeq and is a predicted model, not a curated record. Lineage: Eukaryota; Viridiplantae; Streptophyta; Magnoliopsida; Asterales; Asteraceae. The transcript has 3 exons.